CACAGUUCCUGGCCAGACAGCUGCUUCCCAGUGACAAAUCUACUUUAUAUCAAGAGUGAAAUCAUCCAGAAUAGAGUGAAUUCGGGCUUCAGAGCGGCUGUUUAGGAUUCAGAGCUCUACCAACAUGAGCAAUCUGUUGGCAUGACAGGUCAGAGAAGCCGUGAAGGACAUGGAAGGAAGUAGAUGGAACUGGAAACAGGAGGCCAACCCCAGCAGUCAGUGGUGCUCAGAAAAAAAUAAGACACUGAAAUUUGAGGACUUAAUGGAGUUUGGUGCCUUCAGUUAGCUGAUGUCUAUGAAGCCUGACCAGUCUACUUCUAGUCUAUAAGAUCAUGUGGAAGCUUCAGUGACAAACUUCUACUUUACUAAUGAUUUUAUGAUCCUGUUACCCAUUGCAAUUGCUUAAAUGGUAUUUUAAUUAGCUGCUUUAAAUGACUUUGCUUUUUUACAAAAAGCAGUGUGUGCUUUAGUUUAAAAUAUGGGUCACUGGUGUUUCUUUCUAGAAGAUGACUGUGUUUAGUACCAGGGAAAAUUGGUGAUGUAUUUGGAGAGGUUUUAACUUCUGUAACUCAGGUUGAUAUCUGGAAUGUGAGUGUUUCCAUACUUCCGUGGAUGCAGCAAAUUUAUAUAAAGCGUUAUUAAAUUUGUUCUAGUUUUUAAA
RNAcentral lists this long non-coding RNA (661 nucleotides) under Homo sapiens (human). Its description in RNAcentral is "long independently transcribed non-coding RNA 2229 (LINC02229)". Lineage: Eukaryota; Metazoa; Chordata; Mammalia; Primates; Hominidae. The record is from RNAcentral.